Molecule: microRNA precursor, 125 nt
Filed under: Myotis lucifugus (little brown bat)
Lineage: Eukaryota; Metazoa; Chordata; Mammalia; Chiroptera; Vespertilionidae
Description: mir-9193 microRNA precursor family
Rfam family: mir-9193 microRNA precursor family
Source: Rfam by way of RNAcentral
CAUGCAUCAGCGGGGUCCCUCGGCCUGGCCUGUGCCCUCUCGCAAUCCGGGAACCCUCGCAAGAUGUCGGAAAGCUGGUUUGGCCCGAUCCCGCAGGCCAGGCUGAGGGACCCCACUGGUGCACG